CUAUUACUGAGAAUUCCCUUCAAGCACUUCACGAAGAACUUUUUCUAGGUAUUACGUGAAGUGUUUGGGGGAACUCUUGGUGCAAC
Molecule: non-coding RNA, 86 nt
Organism: Triticum urartu
Lineage: Eukaryota; Viridiplantae; Streptophyta; Magnoliopsida; Poales; Poaceae
Source: Rfam